RNAcentral lists this transfer RNA (100 nucleotides) under Paraplanobispora siamensis. RNAcentral describes it as "Planobispora siamensis tRNA-Leu". Lineage: Bacteria; Bacillati; Actinomycetota; Actinomycetes; Streptosporangiales; Streptosporangiaceae. The record is from RNAcentral.
UGGGGCGAUGGCCGUUGGUGGGGCGCGAAUUCGAGCUUCAGGUGUUCGAUGAGCUCGUGCGGGACCCGGCGAGCAGGGGGUUCUUCAUCUUCGGCCCCGC